AUUGAACGCUGGCGGCAGGCCUAACACAUGCAAGUCGAACGGUAACAGGAAGCAGCUUGCUGCUUUGCUGACGAGUGGCGGACGGGUGAGUAAUGUCUGGGAAACUGCCUGAUGGAGGGGGAUAACUACUGGAAACGGUAGCUAAUACCGCAUAACGUCGCAAGACCAAAGAGGGGGACCUUAGGGCCUCUUGCCAUCGGAUGUGCCCAGAUGGGAUUAGCUAGUAGGUGGGGUAACGGCUCACCUAGGCGACGAUCCCUAGCUGGUCUGAGAGGAUGACCAGCCACACUGGAACUGAGACACGGUCCAGACUCCUACGGGAGGCAGCAGUGGGGAAUAUUGCACAAUGGGCGCAAGCCUGAUACAGCCAUGCCGCGUGUAUGAAGAAGGCCUUCGGGUUGUAAAGUACUUUCAGCGGGGAGGAAGGGAGUAAAGUUAAUACCUUUGCUCAUUGACGUUACCCGCAGAAGAAGCACCGGCUAACUCCGUG
Molecule: ribosomal RNA, 490 nt
Filed under: uncultured bacterium
Lineage: Bacteria
Description: partial 16S ribosomal RNA
Rfam family: Bacterial small subunit ribosomal RNA
Source: RNAcentral